AGCAGCCGCGGUAAUUCCAGCUCCAAUAGCGUAUAUUAAAGUUGUUGCAGUUAAAAGCUCGUAGUUGGAUUUCGGGAUCAAAGGAUCGGUCAUGCCUUGGUAUGUACUGGUUUUAUUGGUUCUCACCUUCUAAAGAACCAUAAUGUCAUUCAUUUGAUGUUAUGGGGAAUUAGGACUGUUACCUUGAAAAAUCAGAGUGUUUAAAGCAGGCUCACGCUUGAAUACAUUAGCAUGGAAUAAUGAAAUAGGACGUUUGAUUCUAUUUUGUUGGUUUCUAGGAUCGACGUAAUGAUUAAUAGGGAUAGGUUGG
RNAcentral lists this unclassified non-coding RNA (310 nucleotides) under uncultured Glomus. Its description in RNAcentral is "SSU rRNA". It matches the Rfam family "Eukaryotic small subunit ribosomal RNA", at positions 569 to 886 of the family's 1831-position model. Lineage: Eukaryota; Fungi; Glomeromycota; Glomeromycetes; Glomerales; Glomeraceae. The record is from RNAcentral.